UGCAAUCUUGAUGUUCACGCCAGCCUCUGA
RNAcentral lists this non-coding RNA (30 nucleotides) under Mus musculus (house mouse). Lineage: Eukaryota; Metazoa; Chordata; Mammalia; Rodentia; Muridae. RNAcentral also lists the same sequence under 1 other name. The record is from RNAcentral.